Molecule: long non-coding RNA, 377 nt
Organism: Diorhabda carinulata
Lineage: Eukaryota; Metazoa; Arthropoda; Insecta; Coleoptera; Chrysomelidae
Exons: 2
Source: RefSeq, a predicted model, not a curated record
UCACUAAACUCAAAUAAAAUUUAUUAUCAAUCACUCAUAAAAUAUGUGAUAAAAUGUGGUAUUUGAUUUAACGUGGCAUUUCUGUCACGAGGUCAUUGAAACAGCAAAACAGAUGUUUAUCAGUUGUGAAGAUGUCUAAAGGGAAUGGCAGCAAGUAUUGGAAGUAUCCAGGUAGCACGUCAUUAUCAGGUAUGGAAUUUACCAGAAAAGAAAAUAACCGGAUUGAAUUCUUCAAUUCACAUUAGCUAACUACCAAGAAGACAGAAACUUACUGGUCCUUAAUCCGUUGUUUCCAAUAUCAUACAUUAGUUAAUACAUAUUAUACAAAAAUAUGUUCAAUUUUUAACGUAAACCAAUAAAUUGCUUUGGAUUGAAAA